This 301-nucleotide ribosomal RNA is filed under the name uncultured bacterium. RNAcentral describes it as "partial 16S ribosomal RNA". It matches the Rfam family "Bacterial small subunit ribosomal RNA", at positions 509 to 807 of the family's 1533-position model. The record is from RNAcentral.
CAGCAGCCGCGGGAAUACGAAGGGCGCAAGCGUUAAUCGGAAUUACUGGGCGUAAAGCGUGCGCAGGCGGUUAUAUAAGUCAGAUGUGAAAUCCCCGGGCUCAACCUGAGAACUGCAUUUGAGACUGUAUGUCUAGAGUGUGUCAGAGGGGGGUAGAAUUCCACGUGUAGCAGUGAAAUGCGUAGAUAUGUGGAGGAAUACCGAUGGCGAAGGCGGCCCCCUGGACAAAGACUGACGCUCAGGUGCGAAAGCGUGGGGAGCAAACAGGAUUAGAUACCCCAGUAGUCCCUGUCUCUUAUAC